CCGUGGCUCUGCUUGUAGCUCUGUGGGACUGCUCUGUAAUCCUUGUGGGACUGCUCUGUAAUCCUUAAUACCGUGUGCUAUACCGUGGCUCUGCUUGUAGCUCUGUGGGACUGCUCUAUUCACAUAACAGAUAGACAAUGAAACAAGUGGAAGGUGUUGAGUCAAACAAUUCUCCUCGUGAAGUUAGAACGGGGGUGCUGGUACAGGAAGUGGACGAGGGACAACCAUGCCUUAUGUGUAGAGAUAAAUGCCCUGGAUAUAGUUCUCACGUCUGGAGGUAAGU
Molecule: long non-coding RNA, 283 nt
Organism: Homarus americanus (American lobster)
Lineage: Eukaryota; Metazoa; Arthropoda; Malacostraca; Decapoda; Nephropidae
Exons: 3
Source: RefSeq, a predicted model, not a curated record